This 932-nucleotide ribosomal RNA is filed under the name uncultured soil bacterium. RNAcentral's name for it is "bacterial SSU rRNA". It matches the Rfam family "Bacterial small subunit ribosomal RNA", at positions 60 to 985 of the family's 1533-position model. The record is from RNAcentral.
AGUCGAACGGCAGCACGGGUGCUUGCACCUGGUGGCGAGUGGCGAACGGGUGAGUAAUGCGUCGGAACGUACCGAGUAAUGGGGGAUAACGCAGCGAAAGUUGUGCUAAUACCGCAUACGCCCUGAGGGGGAAAGUGGGGGAUCGUAAGACCUCACGUUAUUCGAGCGGCCGACGUCUGAUUAGCUAGUUGGUGGGGUAAAGGCCUACCAAGGCGACGAUCAGUAGCGGGUCUGAGAGGAUGAUCCGCCACACUGGGACUGAGACACGGCCCAGACUCCUACGGGAGGCAGCAGUGGGGAAUUUUGGACAAUGGGGGCAACCCUGAUCCAGCCAUUCCGCGUGAGUGAAGAAGGCCUUCGGGUUGUAAAGCUCUUUCAGCUGGAACGAAACGGUACGCGCUAACAUCGUGUGCUAAUGACGGUACCAGCAGAAGAAGCACCGGCUAACUACGUGCCAGCAGCCGCGGUAAUACGUAGGGUGCGAGCGUUAAUCGGAAUUACUGGGCGUAAAGCGUGCGCAGGCGGAUUGUUAAGCAAGAUGUGAAAUCCCCGGGCUUAACCUGGGAAUGGCAUUUUGAACUGGCAGUCUAGAGUGCGUCAGAGGGGGGUGGAAUUCCACGUGUAGCAGUGAAAUGCGUAGAGAUGUGGGGGAACACCGAUGGCGAAGGCAGCCCCCUGGGAUGACACUGACGCUCAUGUACGAAAGCGUGGGUAGCAAACAGGAUUAGAUACCCUGGUAGUCCACGCCCUAAACGAUGUCAACUGGUUGUUGGGGGAGUGAAAUCCCUUAGUAACGAAGCUAACGCGUGAAGUUGACCGCCUGGGGAGUACGGUCGCAAGAUUAAAACUCAAAGGAAUUGACGGGACCCGCACAAGCGGUGGAUGAUGUGGAUUAAUUCGAUGCAACGCGAAAAACCUUACCUACCCUUGAC